GCCAUUUUGCAUAAAAGCCCCUCAACUUUCACCCCUGUGCACAGCCCUCACUGGGUAGUUUUCGCGCGGAGGGACCGGUCUCCCCGACUUGGGACCGAUCCCCGAGAGCUUCCCUCGGGCGCACGCGUUCGGGAACCGGUCUCUCCCCGGGAGACCGGUCCUCGGGAGACCGGUCCUCACCUGGGAGACCGGUCCCCGAGAGCUCAAUCUUCAGGACUUAGCCAACUUUUGGCAUCUCUCGCUGGGUCCACGUUCGGGAACCGGUCCCUCCCUGCCAGGGACCGGUUGCAUCACGCAACCCCGCUACGCCCAGUUAGGGGAACCGGUCUCUCACCUGCAGAGACCGGUCCCCGAGAGCAACAUCAGCCCAAUGAUGCAGUUUGCCUCAUUUGCUCUCGCGGACUCAACUCCAAG
Molecule: long non-coding RNA, 414 nt
Filed under: Ananas comosus (pineapple)
Lineage: Eukaryota; Viridiplantae; Streptophyta; Magnoliopsida; Poales; Bromeliaceae
Description: long non-coding RNA (ACOM_LNC042632)
Source: RNAcentral